Molecule: ribosomal RNA, 120 nt
Filed under: Lepisosteus oculatus (spotted gar)
Lineage: Eukaryota; Metazoa; Chordata; Actinopteri; Semionotiformes; Lepisosteidae
Source: RNAcentral
AUCAACAGUAUUACUACCUUGUACUGUAGCUUGACCUUGUCGACUUCAGAGGCUAAACAAGGCAGGGCCUGGUCAGUACUGGGCUGAGAGAGCUCCAGGGAAACCAGGUUAUUGUGGUGC